UUCUUCUGGACGACUCGCUGUGGAAUAACGAAGGCACAAACCAUGGAGCUGCCGCAGCUGCUGACUCCUGCGGCCGAGUCGCCUCGAGUCCGUCUGGGAAAAGAAACCGGAGGAACCACGUGAAAACCCCCGACGUCAGCGUCAGUUCGGGGUUGAAACCUGGUCGUGAUUGGCCGAAGAGCCCAGUACCCAGGAUGCAACAGGCUCUCUCUCAUGCACACCUGGACCAGACCUCGGAGACAGAUCCCGAUUCACUGAAGCUUCGUCACUUCCUGUUUGGAGUCUUCGUAUCACUGACACUAAAAUAAAUGAAACACUUCGACCGACCCAACGAGUCGAAGCUCCAACCGGACUGGAUCAGAAGAAUCCAGCACAUAGACGGAGCCAUUCAACUACAAACUGCCGCCAUGAAACCAACGAUUGCGUUUGUUUUCUGAGCCCGAUCGACUCCGUCGAGUGGAUUCACAGCUUAUUACCGCCCCCUACUGACACAACGAGGGCGUAACAUGACGUGAGAAGAACCAACCUGAAGACAAGGACUGAACGAGCUCGACUGAAAGUGAACUCUGCACCGACCGCUGGUCCAUGUCUG
This is a long non-coding RNA of Scophthalmus maximus (turbot), 592 nucleotides long. RefSeq lists it as uncharacterized. The transcript has 3 exons. The record is from RefSeq and is a predicted model, not a curated record. Lineage: Eukaryota; Metazoa; Chordata; Actinopteri; Pleuronectiformes; Scophthalmidae.